RNAcentral lists this ribosomal RNA (830 nucleotides) under Fusarium delphinoides. RNAcentral's name for it is "eukaryotic LSU rRNA". It matches the Rfam family "Eukaryotic large subunit ribosomal RNA", at positions 74 to 935 of the family's 3401-position model. Lineage: Eukaryota; Fungi; Ascomycota; Sordariomycetes; Hypocreales; Nectriaceae. The record is from RNAcentral.
AUUGCCCUAGUAACGGCGAGUGAAGCGGCAACAGCUCAAAUUUGAAAUCUGGCUCUCGGGCCCGAGUUGUAAUUUGUAGAGGAUGCUUUUGGCAAGGUGCCUUCCGAGUUUCCUGGAACGGGACGCCAUAGAGGGUGAGAGCCCCGUCUGGUUGGACACCGAGCCUCUGUAAAGCUCCUUCGACGAGUCGAGUAGUUUGGGAAUGCUGCUCUAAAUGGGAGGUAUAUGUCUUCUAAAGCUAAAUACUGGCCAGAGACCGAUAGCGCACAAGUAGAGUGAUCGAAAGAUGAAAAGCACUUUGAAAAGAGAGUUAAAAAGCACGUGAAAUUGUUGAAAGGGAAGCGCUUAUGACCAGACUUGGGCUUGGUUGAUCAUCCGGCGUUCUCGCCGGUGCACUCUUCCAGUUCAGGCCAGCAUCAGUUUGCCCCGGGGGAUAAAAGCUUCGGGAAUGUGGCUCCUCCGGGAGUGUUAUAGCCCGUUGCAUAAUACCCUGGGGCAGACUGAGGACCGCGCUUCGUGCAAGGAUGCUGGCGUAAUGGUCAUCAGCGACCCGUCUUGAAACACGGACCAAGGAGUCGUCUUCGUAUGCGAGUGUUCGGGUGUCAAACCCCUACGCGUAAUGAAAGUGAACGCAGGUGAGAGCUUCGGCGCAUCAUCGACCGAUCCUGAUGUUCUCGGAUGGAUUUGAGUAAGAGCAUACGGGGCCGGACCCGAAAGAAGGUGAACUAUGCCUGUGUAGGGUGAAGCCAGAGGAAACUCUGGUGGAGGCUCGCAGCGGUUCUGACGUGCAAAUCGAUCGUCAAACAUGGGCAUGGGGGCGAAAGACUAAU